This 494-nucleotide ribosomal RNA is filed under the name uncultured bacterium. RNAcentral describes it as "partial 16S ribosomal RNA". It matches the Rfam family "Bacterial small subunit ribosomal RNA", at positions 28 to 507 of the family's 1533-position model. The record is from RNAcentral.
GACGAACGCUGGCGGCGUGCUUAACACAUGCAAGUCGAACGGUGAAGCGCCUUCCUUUUUGGUGGGUGUGGAUGAGUGGCGAACGGGUGAGUAACACGUGAGUAACCUGCCCCCUUCUUCUGGAUAACCGCAUGAAAGUGUGGCUAAUACGGGAUAUUCUGGGUCUGUCGCAUGAUGGGUCUGGGAAAGAUAUUGUUUCGGUGGGGGAUGGGCCCGCGGCCUAUCAGCUUGUUGGUGGGGUGAUGGCCUACCAAGGCGGUGACGGGUAGCCGGCCUGAGAGGGUGGACGGUCACACUGGGACUGAGACACGGCCCAGACUCCUACGGGAGGCAGCAGUGGGGAAUAUUGCACAAUGGGCGCAAGCCUGAUGCAGCGACGCCGCGUGAGGGAUGGAGGCCUUCGGGUUGUGAACCUCUUUCGCCAGUGAAGCAGGCCUGCCUCGUUUGUGGGUGGGUUGACGGUAGCUGGAGAAGAAGCGCCGGCUAACUACGUG